GUGGGGAAUCUUGCGCAAUGGGCGAAAGCCUGACGCAGCCAUGCCGCGUGAAUGAUGAAGGUCUUAGGAUUGUAAAAUUCUUUCACCGGGGACGAUAAUGACGGUACCCGGAGAAGAAGCCCCGGCUAACUUCGUGCCAGCAGCCGCGGUAAUACGAAGGGGGCUAGCGUUGCUCGGAAUUACUGGGCGUAAAGGGCGCGUAGGCGGACAGUUUAGUCAGAGGUGAAAGCCCAGGGCUCAACCUUUGAAUUGCCUUUGAUACUGGCUGGCUUGAGUACGAGACAGGGGAGUGGAACUCCUAGUGUAGAGGUGAAAUUCUUAGAUAUUCGGAAGAACACCAGUGGCGAAGGCGACUCACUGGCCCGUUACUGACGCUGAGGCGCGAAAGCGUGGGGAGCAAACAGGAUUAGAAACCCCGGUAGUUCC
Molecule: ribosomal RNA, 426 nt
Filed under: uncultured bacterium
Lineage: Bacteria
Description: partial 16S ribosomal RNA
Rfam family: Bacterial small subunit ribosomal RNA
Source: RNAcentral